GAUGAACGCUGGCGGCGUGCCUAAUACAUGCCAGUCGAGCGAACGGACGAGAAGCUUGCUUCUCUGAUGUUAGCGGCGGACGGGUGAGUAACACGUGGAUAACCUACCUAUAAGACUGGGAUAACUUCGAGAAACCGGAGCUAAUACCGGAUGAUAUUUUGAACCGCAUGGUUCAAAAGUGAAAGACGGUCUUGCUGUCACUUAUAGAUGGAUCCGCGCUGCAUUAGCUAGUUGGUAAGGUAACGGCUUACCAAGGCAACGAUGCAUAGCCGACCUGAGAGGGUGAUCGGCCACACUGGAACUGAGACACGGUCCAGACUCCUACGGGAGGCAGCAGUAGGGAAUCUUCCGCAAUGGGCGAAAGCCUGACGGAGCAACGCCGCGUGAGUGAUGAAGGUCUUCGGAUCGUAAAACUCUGUUAUUAGGGAAGAACAUAUGUGUAAGUAACUGUGCACAUCUUGACGGUACCUAAUCAGAAAGCCACGGCUAACUACGUG
RNAcentral lists this ribosomal RNA (497 nucleotides) under uncultured bacterium. RNAcentral describes it as "partial 16S ribosomal RNA". It matches the Rfam family "Bacterial small subunit ribosomal RNA", at positions 28 to 507 of the family's 1533-position model. The record is from RNAcentral.